Molecule: RNA transcript, 2763 nt
Organism: Abrus precatorius (Indian licorice)
Lineage: Eukaryota; Viridiplantae; Streptophyta; Magnoliopsida; Fabales; Fabaceae
Gene name: polyadenylate-binding protein-interacting protein 7-like
Exons: 6
Source: RefSeq, a predicted model, not a curated record
UCAGAGAGAGAGAGAGAGAGAGUUUGUAGAGAGAGAAGGGUCAAAUCGAGUGGCGAAAGGUUGGGUGUCUUCUUGAGUAUUUUUGUGGUGCUGGUGCUGGUGCUGGUUUUAGCCUAGGGGCUUUCAAACAAAAAACUAAGAAAGAAGAGAGAGAAAGAGAAAAGAGAGAGAAGAGAAAAUAAAAGAGAGAGAGAGAGAGGGAACCAAAAAGGAAAAAAAAACCUGAUAACUGAGAUAACAAUACUGGAGAGAGUUCCAAGCUCCGCUUCCCAGAAAAAAAAAUAAAAACUUGCUUCACUUUAUCUCUUCAUUUUUCCCUCUCUUACCCUCUGAUCUCCUGCAAUCUUUCCUCAUGGAUCCCUUUGAUUUGAUUCGUAAAGGGUUUGGUUGAGGCUGUCUGGAAAUUUUGUGUUACUGUUUUUAAGGUCCAUUUAUGUUUUAGCAAUUUCAUCCAUAUUCUUGUUAAUAAUGAGCUUAUUGAAGAAAGAAUCCCAAACAGACGCGAAACUCAGCAGCCCAAACAAAGCAACCGCUUUGAAUCCAAAUGCAGCAGAGUUUAUUCCUUUUGCCCUCAGAUCAUCACCAUCUGGAAGCACCAGCUCGGUGGAUGCAACAGCCAGGUUCACUGCUGCUGGAUCUCUUGGGAAAGCAGUUUUAGAUCAAUCAGAAUCAUCCAUUUCAAAUAAUUCCGAUGAUGAGGCCCACCAGUACUGGCGUUGUCAGCUUCCUGAUGAUAUCACCCCUGACUUCAAGGUCAUGGGAGAAGAUGAAUCCCAAGGUCUUAACAACCUCUCUUUAGCAGGCUUAUCAAUACAUGAUGAUAAUGAAUCCUCAAGGUUUGCUUCUUCUAAGGGAAGUAGAUAUAUAUUAAAUGAGCAGCCAGAAUUAUCUCAACAUCACCAUAAUGGCAAUGCUUUUGCUGAUAAAUCAAGGUUUUCUAAUUCAACCUACAGGGAGGAACCAUCUCCAGCAACCUUUUUAAGCCCAUCAGCAAAGCCUUGGGAUAGGCAAAUUGGGAAUACUGACUUGCAUAUUAGCAGUGGUCAUGAGGCACUUGCUUUUGAUGACCACUCUAGACAUGGAUUCUUAAAUGAUGUUUUGGCUGAGAAUGCUAUUGUCGAUGAUACUGAUUUGAAUCCUUUGGAGUUUUUAGUUUCUCUAUUCCCUGGUUUUGCUUCAGAAAGCCUUGCUGAAGUUUACUUUGCCAAUGGAUGCGAUUUACAUCUGACCAUUGAGAUGCUCACUCAAUUAGAGAUUCAAGUUGAUGGUAGUUUCAAUCAGAAUCUGAGUCCAAAGACUCUGUCAUCUCCCAAUCUGAAUGCAAUGGACUUUCCUGCACUUGCUUCCUCAAAUGGCGAGACCACUUCUGCAAAAUAUGCUGCAGAUAAUGUUCAACAAAAUGUUAAUCCAUACGUGUCAUCUGAGAAAGACAUGCUUAUGUUCAAAUCAAGCUCUUCUGUUCCAUCUAGAGGUGCUAUUGACUUUGCUUCAGCUGUCAGGAAAUUGGCUUCUCAGGAUUCUGGUAUAUGGAAGUAUGAUAGGAAUGGUUCUGGUGAUGCCUCCACAGGCUCAAGUAGGAGUUUAAAUGCUCUCGCUAAUGCCUACAAUGGUGGACAAGGGAGAGCCAACUUUGGUGAUAGAUUACAGAACCGUGGUUCUGCACGGGCAGCUCCUAUCUGGCUUGACACUGGUGACGCAGUUGCAAAUAUGUAUUCCGAGCUGCGUGAGGAGGCACGAGAUCAUGCACGCUUGCGUAAUGCAUAUUUUGAGCAGCUAACAUUUUUGUAACAUGAGUUUCAACUACCAAGCUUUUUCCCACUAGCUAGGCAAGAGGUAACAUGAGGACUUCCAAGGAGAUCACUUAUCCUAAUUUUUGUAACUUGAGUUUAAUCAUUCAUAAUAUAAAAACAGGCACGACAAGCCUACCUUAUUGGCAACAAAGCCCUUGCAAAGGAGCUAGGUGUUAAAGGGCAACUGCACAACAUGCAUAUGAAAGCAGCACAUGGAAAAGCUCAAGAAUCUAUUUACCGCCAGAGGAAUCCUGUUGCUCCAGAGAUGCAGGUUAAUGGAAGAGGACACGAGAGAAUGAUAGACCUACAUGGACUGCAUGUAAACGAAGCCAUUCACGUGCUGAAACACGAAUUGAGUGUGCUAAGGAGCACAGCGAGAGCUGCCGAGCAGCGAUUGCAGGUUUAUAUCUGCGUCGGCACUGGCCACCAUACCAGGGGCUCUCGCACGCCUGCAAGACUUCCAAUAGCUGUACAGCGUUAUCUACUCGAAGAAGAAGGCCUUGAUUUCACAGAACCGCAGCCGGGCCUGCUUCGCGUCGUGAUUUAUUGAACCAAGGAUAUGAGAAGGAGGUAUACAAGUUUUUGACACAGUAAAAAUCCAUGAACAUAUAGAACAUUGUAGUCAUUCUUGUAUCUGUAUAUGGGAAGUAAUGGCAUUGCCAGAAGAAAAAGGUAAAAAAAAUGGCUGAGGAAAAGAAAACAUGAAGAAGGUUAGAAGUACAAAGAGAAGGGUUGUAGCAGAAUUGUACCAUUAAGGUUUCACUCAGGCAACUGAUUACUUUAGUCAGCAGGAUCUCCAUGUCAGCAUUUUCCUUCUGUUAAUUUUGUACCCUAAUUUUCAUUUCUUUGUUUUUUGUUUUUUUUUAUUCGGAGAUGUAACUGAUAGAACUCAAUUACAAUUUACAUCAUAGAACGAUUCACUUUUUCAAUUUAGAUUCAAUGCCACACAAUCUACAGCUAGGAACAAAUAUUC